Molecule: long non-coding RNA, 163 nt
Organism: Salvelinus fontinalis (brook trout)
Lineage: Eukaryota; Metazoa; Chordata; Actinopteri; Salmoniformes; Salmonidae
Exons: 3
Source: RefSeq, a predicted model, not a curated record
GGGUAGUGCACUACUUUAGACGAGGACCAUAGGGGUAGUGCACUACUUUAGACCAGGGCCAUAGGGGUAGUGCACUACUUUAGACCAGGGCCUAUAGGGGUAGUGCACUACUUUAGACCAGGGCCAUAGGGGUAGUGCACUACUUUAGACCAGGGCCAUAGGG